UGGGGAAUAUUGGACAAUGGGCGAAAGCCUGAUCCAGCCAUGCCGCAUGAGUGAAGAAGGCCUUUGGGUUGUAAAGCUCUUUUAGUGAGGAAGAUAAUGACGGUACUCACAGAAGAAGUCCUGGCUAACUCCGUGCCAGCAGCCGCGGUAAUACGGAGAGGGCUAGCGUUAUUCGGAAUUAUUGGGCGUAAAGGGCGCGUAGGCUGGUUAAUAAGUUAAAAGUGAAAUCCCGAGGCUUAACCUUGGAAUUGCUUUUAAAACUAUUAAUCUAGAGAUUGAAAGAGGAUAGAGGAAUUCCUGAUGCAGAGGUAAAAUUCGUAAAUAUUAGGAGGAACACCGGUGGCGAAGGCGUCUAUCUGGUUCAAAUCUGACGCUGAAGCGCGAAGGCGUGGGGAGCAAACA
Molecule: ribosomal RNA, 402 nt
Filed under: uncultured bacterium
Lineage: Bacteria
Description: partial 16S ribosomal RNA
Rfam family: Bacterial small subunit ribosomal RNA
Source: RNAcentral